Molecule: long non-coding RNA, 897 nt
Organism: Haliotis rubra (blacklip abalone)
Lineage: Eukaryota; Metazoa; Mollusca; Gastropoda; Lepetellida; Haliotidae
Exons: 5
Source: RefSeq, a predicted model, not a curated record
GUGCACAGUGGGUGACAGUGAACCACUUCCCUGACACCACGUGCUUCACGUGCACUUGUUGAACAGGAGCCACGUGACCAACCCGCACUUAACAGUCGUCAGUUGGAAGUCGGAGCGGGCAGUCGAGUUUAAAGGCAAAGAUGAAGAUCCUAUUCUUGGUCAUCCUUGUCCUCUGCAUCGGUUCGAUGGAAUGCCAGAAAAAGGAAAGGCAAAGGAAAACCUCCAGCGAAAAAGAAUAUCUGCCAAAAGGAUAUGCGUUUCCUUGUGUCGGUCAUACGCGUGUGCAACGCAUACAGACGAGCCUCCCGAUUCCGCAUGAAAAACUGGGUUUCUUUGCGAAAAUACAUUCGUUAUGCACUGCUUGUGACCCUUAAAAAUAACAAACCGCCGCCGAAAGGCAAGCCAACAGCAAGCCAACAGCCAAGCCAACGCCCACGCCAACGCCCAAGCCAACGCCCACGCCAACGCCUAAACCUAAGGGCAAGGAUGGCAAAAAGAAUGAAACUCGCAGAUUCCAAGACGAGGACUUCAGUUUUGACGAUGCUGUUACUGGCAACUUCUUUGACGACGAAGAUUCUUUGAUCGCUGACGAUGACGAUCAAAGCGAAAACGCCGUGGACGAUGACGCUGAAGACUCUGAAUCCGAUGCUCUGUCUGAACAUUCAGAUGCAGAGGCCGAAAUCAAGAAACUCCGCCGAUAUCUGGAGCUCUCCGGCAGAUACAGGGACAAACGUGCCCCAAAACGGAAGGGCAAGAAGCGCCCUCCACCAAAGGACCCAUUCAGGAGUCUGAGGAUUCUCUGUAUCAAGAUGUCAAGGCUGUUGUACAAAGGGUGAAGGACCAGUGUUUUCAUACUGAAAAAACAACAAAAACAUCAAUAAAACUGGCUCAAGUGAA